This 329-nucleotide long non-coding RNA is filed under the name Vitis vinifera (wine grape). RNAcentral's name for it is "long non-coding RNA (VVIN_LNC001728)". The record is from RNAcentral. Lineage: Eukaryota; Viridiplantae; Streptophyta; Magnoliopsida; Vitales; Vitaceae.
UGUUUUCGCAUCUGGGUUUUGCUUUUCAAUUGAAUUUGAAAGUACCCAAAGCAUUUCUGCGGGAGAGGUCUGUGUCCGUAUAAGAAACCUAUCUCUCUGUCUUGAAAGAGAAGUUCUAGAUUUUCGGACCCAGAUCUGCUUCUUUUCAUGUUUUUUUGUUCAAGUCUCAUAAAGCUGGGCAAAGCCGUAAGUUUUAUGCUUGUGAUUUGUAGGGCAGAGAACGCUUUGGCGAAGGAGGAAGGCAAGAGGGGUUGUUUGUUUUCUGGGAAAUAACUUUCCAUGGGGGUUUGUCUAAGUGCUAGAAUCAAGGCUGAGAGCCCAUGCCACAC